Molecule: RNA transcript, 2412 nt
Organism: Gymnogyps californianus (California condor)
Lineage: Eukaryota; Metazoa; Chordata; Aves; Accipitriformes; Cathartidae
Exons: 2
Source: RefSeq, a predicted model, not a curated record
AAUCCGCAGGGAGUGUUGCGAGCAGCCUUGAACAAUUAGACAUAGCCUUGAAAGACAUAGAAUAAGGGAGUAAAUAAGUGAUAAAGCAGGUGCGCAGAAAAGAAGCUGAAGACUGAAAUAACUUGGAAAACAGAUAUGAGACCGAAGCCAGAAGACGUGUGUCUUGCUCGACAGCACCAAUCAGAAGCUUAGCCGCGGCGCGUGAACAGAAAGUAUUAACUAAUCGUGGAACAAGCCUGAGCGCGUGGACAGCUAAUGAAUCUAUAUAAGCACAAAUUUGUAAACAAUAAAGGUCUUUGGUUUUACCCGCACCAGAGUCCAUGAACCAUCCCUACAAAUGGCGCCCAACGUGGGGCACGAAACUACAGCGUGGAACGUACGUCGGUAGGGACUCCAGUUGGACGAAUUCAUCAGCGGAGGAGCUGAACGACCCGGGUCUCAAUCACCAAAUAAAGGGUAUGCUUGUGUUUUGACAGAUCACGGGCCCCACUGGGUUCCAGCUCGGUGUGUACGGCCAGCGCUCACAAAGCUGCAGGUACCAGGCAAACAACAGACAACCGCAAAAGACCCUGAAGGGCCUGCCGAGACAUCAGAAGACAUUUUGAGUGACAGCGCAAACUGUUUUGAUGGGAAAUGACUUGCUUGAGACAGUAGGAGUUGUGUAUCAGGCCUCGCUAGGCCUCAGGUGUCUAUACGUCUAGUCUGUAAGCGCUGCUAUGGAUACAUUACUGUACAUUGUAUAUUUUGUAGAAAGUAUUUGAUUUAUUUUAAUGGUAAUCAGCACAUUUAUCUGAAUCAUACUUUAGCACCAUUGUGUAUUCAUUGUAAGAGAAUCAAUAGUAUACGUAAGAUCUAUUCAAUCCGUUAUUUUUGUUGUUAUACAGACCGGUAUAUAAAAUGGAGAGGAUAACGACCUUUUUUAAGUUUGAUUGGGUGUAUACAAGCAAUAUGGGUGCCACCACAACCAAAGACGAAUGUGUGGGUCACGUUAGCGAAUCUAACAGGACAAGAUUUUAUUUGCCUGUCUAUUGUAUCUCCAGGGAACCCUUUUUCAACAUGUCUUGUCGGAGUCCUGGUGGAUACCUGGCCCAACACUAUCCAGUCCCAGCAUUUGUGCUCCAGUUUCAACGCCUGUGUCGACAACUGGGACGGGUGGAGUGCUCAUUUACCCCAAUUACCACAGGAGCCGCAAGAACUUGGACUCCUGGGUUCAGUUAAAAUGGACAGCUGUUUGUAUUUUAAUUAUUCAGGGCGCAAUCGAACAACAGCGCAAAAUAUCAACUCGUCUCUGUCCAUAUAUAGAAAUAAUACAGCCUGGUGCAACUAUACUAGCCCGAAUAUUUCCACAUCUAGCAACGCGCCUCUGGCGCUUCCCUCAGGGGUCUUUUUUAUCUGUGGCAAUCACGCAUGGGGAGGAAAUACCAUCUCAUAUAAAAGGAGGGCCUUGCAGUUUGGGGAGGCUCACUUUGCUAACACCAAAUACAUCAAUAAUUUUUAAUCACCGGCGCUCCAAGCGAUCGACCCAUGCCUUUAAGGCAGAGUGCAGGGAUGAUGUGGAAUUUUGGAACAGUGAAAAGAUAAUUAUGGCUUCUAUAGCUGCACCAGGGGUGGCAGCCUCACAGGCCUUAGCCACACUAAAUAAGUUGGGAUGUUGGCUAGCCAAGCAGACUAAUGCUACUUCUCAAGCCUUGAGUAGUUUGCUUUUAGAUGUUGAUUCUGUAAGACAUGCAACCUUGCAAAAUCGUGCAGCAACUGAUUUUUUGCUUUUAGCACGGGAGCACGAGUGUAAAGACCUUGACGGUAUGUGUUGUAUGAAUCUCUCCGAUCACUUGGAAUCUAUUCACCGUAGCAUUCAACAAUUGAAAGAGGGAGUUAAAAAGCUACAACUUGAUGAUGGAUGGGGUUGGAUAGAAAAUCUUUUUAGUAACUGGGGAAUGAAUGAUUGGCUUAAAGGUUUGAUAAAGAUUGGGCUAGUUUUAUUAUGUGCUAUUUGUGGCCUCCUGCUCAUUAUUCAGUGUUUGCUAUCCUGUCUGCAAAAGGCCCUGCAGAGGAUGAUAAACACUGCAUUUUGGGUAGAAAAACAAAAAGGAGGAAUUGUGGGAAUCUGCAGGGAGUGUUGCGAGCAGCCUUGAACAAUUAGACAUAGCCUUGAAAGACAUAGAAUAAGGGAGUAAAUAAGUGAUAAAGCAGGUGCGCAGAAAAGAAGCUGAAGACUGAAAUAACUUGGAAAACAGAUAUGAGACCGAAGCCAGAAGACGUGUGUCUUGCUCGACAGCACCAAUCAGAAGCUUAGCCGCGGCGCGUGAACAGAAAGUAUUAACUAAUCGUGGAACAAGCCUGAGCGCGUGGACAGCUAAUGAAUCUAUAUAAGCACAAAUUUGUAAACAAUAAAGGUCUUUGGUUUUACCCGCA